AAGAUGAGAUUUCCCAUUCCGCAAGGAAGUAAGAUCCCUGAAAGAUGAUCAGGUUGAUAGGUCUGAGGUGGAAGUGUGGCGACACAUGGAGCUGACAGAUACUAAUCGAUCGAGGACUUAACCUA
Molecule: ribosomal RNA, 125 nt
Filed under: Bacillus mojavensis
Lineage: Bacteria; Bacillati; Bacillota; Bacilli; Caryophanales; Bacillaceae
Also listed under: 4 other names
Description: partial 23S ribosomal RNA
Rfam family: Bacterial large subunit ribosomal RNA
Source: RNAcentral